AUUGAACGCUGGCGGAAUGCUUUACACAUGCAAGUCGAGCGGCAGCGCGGGGGCAACCCUGGCGGCGAGCGGCGAACGGGUGAGUAACAUAUCGGAACGUACCCAGUCGUGGGGGAUAACUAUCCGAAAGGAUAGCUAAUACCGCAUACGUCCUGAGAGAGAAAGCGGGGGAGUCGCAAGACCUUGCGCGAUUGGAGCGGCCGAUAUCGGAUUAGCUAGUUGGUGGGGUAAAGGCUCACCAAGGCGACGAUCCGUAGCGGGUCUGAGAGGACGACCCGCCACACUGGAACUGAGACACGGUCCAGACUCCUACGGGAGGCGGCAGU
Molecule: ribosomal RNA, 326 nt
Filed under: uncultured bacterium
Lineage: Bacteria
Description: bacterial SSU rRNA
Rfam family: Bacterial small subunit ribosomal RNA
Source: RNAcentral